This 482-nucleotide ribosomal RNA is filed under the name uncultured bacterium. RNAcentral describes it as "partial 16S ribosomal RNA". It matches the Rfam family "Bacterial small subunit ribosomal RNA", at positions 30 to 507 of the family's 1533-position model. The record is from RNAcentral.
AUUGAACGCUGGCGGCAUGCUUUACACAUGCAAGUCGAACGGUAACAGGCCGCAAGGUGCUGACGAGUGGCGAACGGGUGAGUAACGCAUCGGAACGUGCCCAGUCGUGGGGGAUAACUACUCGAAAGAGUAGCUAAUACCGCAUACGAUCUAUGGAUGAAAGCGGGGGACCGUAAGGCCUCGCGCGAUUGGAGCGGCCGAUGUCAGAUUAGGUAGUUGGUGGGGUAAAGGCUCACCAAGCCAACGAUCUGUAGCUGGUCUGAGAGGACAACCAGCCACACUGGGACUGAGACACGGCCCAGACUCCUACGGGAGGCAGCAGUGGGGAAUUUUGGACAAUGGGCGCAAGCCUGAUCCAGCAAUGCCGCGUGCAGGAAGAAGGCCUUCGGGUUGUAAACUGCUUUUGUACGGAACGAAACGGCUCUGGUUAAUACCCGGGGCUAAUGACGGUACCGUAAGAAUAAGCACCGGCUAACUACGUG